GAUGAAGAACGCAGCGAAAUGCGAUAAGUAAUGUGAAUUGCAGAAUCCAGUGAAUCAUCGAAUCUUUGAACGCACAUUGCGCCCCCUGGUAUUCCGGGGGGCAUACCUGUUCGAGCGUCAUUUCACCACUCAAGCCUCGCUUGGUAUUGGGCAACGCGGUCCGCCGCGUGCCUCAAAUCGACCGGCUGGGUCUUCUGUCCCCUAAGCGUUGUGGAAACUAUUCGCUAAAGGGUGUUCGGGAGGCUACGCCGUAAAACAACCCCAUUUCUAAGGUUGACCUCGGAUCAGGUAGGGAUACCCGCUGAACUUAAGCAUAUCAAUAAGCGGAGGA
RNAcentral lists this unclassified non-coding RNA (331 nucleotides) under soil metagenome. RNAcentral describes it as "partial contains 5.8S ribosomal RNA, internal transcribed spacer 2, and large subunit ribosomal RNA". The stretch from base 1 to 120 matches the Rfam family "5.8S ribosomal RNA", at positions 35 to 154 of the family's 154-position model. The record is from RNAcentral.